AACUUAUCUGGUGAAGAGUCAGUUACAGAUUGAACUCCUUGUUCUACUACUUUCCCCCCUCCUCACUACUGCACUUGACUAGUCUUAA
Molecule: Y RNA, 88 nt
Filed under: Microcebus murinus (gray mouse lemur)
Lineage: Eukaryota; Metazoa; Chordata; Mammalia; Primates; Cheirogaleidae
Description: Y RNA (ENSMICG00000025091.3)
Rfam family: Y RNA
About the family: Y RNAs are components of the Ro ribonucleoprotein particle (Ro RNP), in association with Ro60 and La proteins. The Y RNAs and Ro60 and La proteins are well conserved, but the function of the Ro RNP is not known.
Source: RNAcentral